UCCAAUCGAACUCGGAGAUAGCUGGUUCUCCUCGAAAUAGCUUUAGGGCUAGCCUUGAGGGAAGAUAUGUGGGGGUAGAGCACUGAAUGAGGUAGGGGCCUAACCAGGUUACUGAACUCUAUCAAACUGCGAAUACCAUGUAUUAAUACUCAGGAGUCAGACUACGGGAGCUAAGUUCCGUGGUCAAAAGGGAAAGAGCCCAGACCGACAAUUAAGGUCCCAAAGAUAUAGUUAAGUGGGAAACGAUGUGAAUUUGCGUAAACAACCAGGAUGUUGGCUCAGAAGCAGCCAUUCAUUCAAAGAGUGCGUAACAGCUCACUGGUCGAGUGAAUUUGCGCGGAAAAUUACCGGGGCUAAACUAUACACCGAAAUUACGGAUUUGUAAAUGAAAAUUUAUAAGUGGUAGAGGAGCAUUCUGUGGUAGGGCGAAGCUAAAGCGAGAGCAUUAGUGGACGAAGCAGAAGAGAGAAUGCUGGAAUAAGUAGCGAGAGCGAGGUGAGAAUCCUUGCCGUCGAAAGUCUAAGGUUUCCUGGGGAAGGUUCGUCCGCCCAGGGUAAGUCGGGACCUAAGGAGAGGCCGAAAGGCGUAUCUGAUGGAUAGCAGGUGGAAAUUCCUGCACUAUAGCCAUACUUAAAAGAUGCAAGGGACGCAGGAGAGGAAGAUAACCGAGGAAGAGGAAAAACUCGGAUCGAAAGAUGGAGUGAAAAUAUAAGUAACGAAGUAUCAAGAAUCACACUGACGAGAAAAGCUUGUAGAGAUUGUAUGGAAAUACCCGUACCGCAAACCGACACAGGUAGAUGAGGAGAGGAUCCUAAGACGAACGGGAGAAGCAUUGUUAAGGAACUCGGCAAAAUAACCCCGUAACUUCGGGAGAAGGGGAGCCUAUGUAAAAGUAGGCCGCAGUGAAAAGGCCCAAGCAACUGUUUAACAAAAACACAGGUUUCUGCUAAAUCGAAAGAUGAAGUAUAGGAGCUGACGCCUGCCCAGUGCUGGAAGGUUAAGGGGAAAUGUUAGGAGCAAUCCGAAGCAUAGAACUGAAGCCCCAGUGAACGGCGGCCGUAACUAUAACGGUCCUAAGGUAGCGAAAUUCCUUGUCAGGUAAGUUCUGACCCGCACGAAAGGUGUAAUGAUUUGGGAGCUGUCUCGACAAUGUACUCGGCGAAAUUGUAGUACUAGUGAAGAUGCUAGUUACCUGCGACAAGACAGAAAGACCCCAUGGAGCUUUACUGCAGUUUGAUACUGGGUUUUGAUAAACUAUGUACAGGAUAGGUGGGAGACGAAGAAAGCAAGGCGUCAGCUUUGCUGGAGUCACCGUUGGGAUACCACUCUUAGUUUGUUGAAAUUCUAACUAGUGGUCAUGACCUGGCCAGAGGACAAUGUCAGACGGGCAGUUUGACUGGGGCGGUCGCCUCCAAAAGAGUAACGGAGGCGCCCAAAGGUUUCCUCAGCGCGGACAGAAAUCGCGCGAAAGAGUGUAAAGGCAGAAGGAAGCUUAACUGGAAGACAGACAUGUCGAGCAGAUACGAAAGUAGGGCUUAGUGAUCCGGUGGAAUUGAAUGGAAAAGCCAUCGCUCAACGGACAAAAGUUACCCUGGGGAUAACAGGCUUAUCUCCCCCAAGAGUUCACAUCGACGGGGAGGUUUGGCACCUCGAUGUCGGCUCAUCGCAUCCUGGAGCGGAAGUACGUUCCAAGGGUUGGGCUGUUCGCCCAUUAAAGCGGUACGCGAGCUGGGUUCAGAACGUCGUGAGACAGUUCGGUCCCUAU
Molecule: ribosomal RNA, 1765 nt
Filed under: human gut metagenome
Description: bacterial LSU rRNA
Rfam family: Bacterial large subunit ribosomal RNA
Source: RNAcentral